AUUGAACGCUGGCGGCAUGCCUUACACAUGCAAGUCGAACGGCAGCGCGGGGCAACCUGGCGGCGAGUGGCGAACGGGUGAGUAAAAUAUCGGGAACGUACCCAGGAGUGGGGGAUAACGUAGCGAAAGUUACGCUAAUACCGCAUACGUCCUAAGGGAGAAAGUGGGGGCUCGCAAGACCUCAUGCUCAUGGAGCGGCCGAUAUCUGAUUAGCUAGUUGGUAGGGUAAAAGCCUACCAAGGCAACGAUCAGUAGCUGGUCUGAGAGGACGACCAGCCACACUGGAACUGAGACACGGUCCAGACUCCUACGGGAGGCAGCAGUGGGGAAUUUUUGGACAAUGGGGGCAACCCUGAUCCAGCAAUGCCGCGUGAGUGAAGAAGGC
Molecule: ribosomal RNA, 385 nt
Filed under: uncultured bacterium
Lineage: Bacteria
Description: bacterial SSU rRNA
Rfam family: Bacterial small subunit ribosomal RNA
Source: RNAcentral